RNAcentral lists this long non-coding RNA (781 nucleotides) under Trifolium pratense (red clover). RNAcentral's name for it is "long non-coding RNA (TPRA_LNC007282)". The record is from RNAcentral. Lineage: Eukaryota; Viridiplantae; Streptophyta; Magnoliopsida; Fabales; Fabaceae.
UUGAAGUAUAAAUAUCAACAAAUUUAUUAUUCUUAUUACAAAUGAAAGCAAAAUUAGAUUGAAAUAGAUUUGUUACAGCAUAAAGCAAAAUAAUUUAAAAAUUAUACAGAAAAAUUACAUCUAAGUUAGAGACAACAUCAAGUGUCUCAACUUCAAAUUUAACACAACAAUGAACCUAAAUUAAAUCUCCCUCCAAGAGAUAAAAGAGAGGCACAUCCCUCUCGUCAAUGUUAAUCCCCAUUGAGUUCUCAACUUGUAGGAGAAGAAAAAGGAUAGACGAAGCUUAUGUUUUUUUUUUUUUGAACGGCUAAAUUUUAUUAAAAAUGUAACUGAGCCCAAGACGAGCUCGGUACAUGCAAGUACAACACAAAGGAAAACAUAAACCGUCAUUAACACCUAAAUCCACCAUACCAAUUACAUCUCUUAAAAAACCCGAACAAAUGGCGAAAAGAACCACAUACCAACACCCUAGCAAACUUACCCCGCAUAAAACCUCGCUACAUCAGUCAAACCGAAACGACAACCCCUAAGCCAACAAAGAGUUGCUGCACCAAACACCAACACCUUUGAAGGACCCAAAUCACAAGCACCACUAGUCAAGCCAAACCCAUCGGGAUAUCAAAACCACACCUGCGCAAAAGAGAAAAAUACAGAGCAGCCAACAAUCACAUCCAACAAUCACAGGGAACAAUUAGAUCUAGACAAAACACACAAAGACAUCUUCUUUUUAACUGCCACGUGUUCUCGACACCAAACGCCUCCACAACAACACCUCUGGCCA